GCCCGGAACACUCUGCUGAGAAUGACUUUUGGAGCCAUUUGGCAGAGAUUAGGGAAAAGAAAAAGUGGACAUGCUCCAGUUGUGAAGAAAAGACAUAUGGGGAUUUAGAUUAUGAACAGGCAGAAGAGGAAGAAUGAGAAAUCGUUCUUUGGCGAUAAAGAGUCUCUGGAACAGAAGUGAUGCUGAAAUGCGUGAUGAGACCUUGGCGACAUGUGAACUACUCAUUGACUAACAAGACGAUUAGAAAUUGGUAAGUUGUUACUUUUGAUUGCUCUUUUUUUUCCCUAGAGGAUAGUUUUUUGACUAAG
RNAcentral lists this long non-coding RNA (308 nucleotides) under Callithrix jacchus (white-tufted-ear marmoset). RNAcentral describes it as "lncRNA (ENSCJAG00000076746.1)". Lineage: Eukaryota; Metazoa; Chordata; Mammalia; Primates; Cebidae. The record is from RNAcentral.